RNAcentral lists this ribosomal RNA (428 nucleotides) under Reticulitermes flavipes (eastern subterranean termite). Its description in RNAcentral is "partial 16S ribosomal RNA". It matches the Rfam family "Archaeal large subunit ribosomal RNA", at positions 1889 to 2554 of the family's 2987-position model. The record is from RNAcentral. Lineage: Eukaryota; Metazoa; Arthropoda; Insecta; Blattodea; Rhinotermitidae.
CGCCUGUUUAUCAAAAACAUCUCUUCUCGUUAGUUUUUGAAGUAUGGCCUGCCCACUGACCUUGAAUGUUGAAGGGCCGCGGUAUUUUGACCGUGCAAAGGUAGCAUAGUCAUUAGUUCUUUAAUUGUGAUCUGGUAUGAAUGGCUUGACGAGGCAUGAGCUGUCUUAAUUUUGAAUUGUUUAUUGAAUUUGGUCUUUGAGUUAAAAUUCUUAGAUGUUUUUAUGGGACGAGAAGACCCUAUAGAGUUUUACAUUUAUUAUGGUCUCUUUCUGUUUGUGAGGGUUCACUAGGGCUGUUUAAUAUGUUUUGUUGGGGUGAUGGGAGGGAUAUUGUUUAACCCCUCCUUUAUGUUGUUAUAUUUAUUAAUAUUUGCUUGAUCCAUUUAUUUUGAUUGUAAGAUUAAAUUACCUUAGGGAUAACAGCGUAA